GAUUGAUUUCUUUGGCAGGCGAGGGCAGAAGAGGUUUGCUUCUCCCUGGAAUGAAAACGAUAUUUUUCUUCAGAGCAGAAGCAGGUGCCCCUCGAGAUCAGGAUACUGCAAACUGCCCCGAGGGGGUACGUGUUUGUGCCUGCUGAAGGAAUCUGGAGCAAACCACAUCCAUCCCCAGCCCUCUCGUGUAGCUGCAUGACAUGGAUGGAGAUAACCAACAGGAACUCCACAAGAGGCAGCCCUGAUAAACUGUGUUGUUCUGUGUCUGCAAUUCUGAACAUAUCUUGUGACAGGGUGCAAGAGAGGAGGCCCAGCCUUGAGCGAGUUCCAGCACUUCACGAAAAGCACGUAGUAAUAGCAGAGAGACUCGAACUUCCUCAAGGCAAGGACCUUUUCUGCCACGUCCCCCAGCCUGGCAGGUAACUGCUGCCCCUGUAAUAAGGAGCACAUGAAAGAGAAUCAGGCCUCAACUGCAGGGAAAAGGUUCAACGCAUCUUCUAGGGGAGCCAGUGCUAUGGAAACCAGAGGGUAAAAGCAUCUACGAGUGUCUCUGCUUGAGAUACAUGUUGUAUCAUCUUACGCACCGUGUGGAAUAAUAAAAAAACAUAUGCUCGUGAGCAAAUAAAC
Mus musculus (house mouse) is the source of this 627-nucleotide long non-coding RNA. RefSeq annotates it as predicted gene, 51567. The transcript is spliced from 3 exons. NCBI's taxonomy places the organism in Eukaryota, Metazoa, Chordata, Mammalia, Rodentia, Muridae. The record is from RefSeq and is a predicted model, not a curated record.